AUGGCUGCAUGAGGACCAAACUGUCUCCUUUGACCAAUCAAUGAACCUGAUCUCCCAGUACAAAAGCUGGAAUAAAACCAUAAGACGAGAAGACCCUGUGGAGCUUUAAAUAUAACUACUAAUUAUAACUGCACCCCCAGGGCCCACAAAACCAAAAUAGUACACAUUUUUAGUUGGGGCGACUACGGAACCAAACAAAACUUCCACGACAACAGACCACCCCCCCCCCCCCCAGGUAAACAUACCAACACCAUUUGACCCAGUAACACUGACCAACGAACCAAGUUACCCCAGGGAUAACAGCGCCAUCCUCUUCAAGAGCCCAUAUCGCCAAGAGGGUUUACGACCUCGAUGUUGGAUCAGGACCCCCAGGUGGUGCAACCGCUACCU
RNAcentral lists this ribosomal RNA (390 nucleotides) under Sphaerodactylus roosevelti. Its description in RNAcentral is "partial 16S ribosomal RNA". It matches the Rfam family "Bacterial large subunit ribosomal RNA", at positions 1996 to 2567 of the family's 2925-position model. The record is from RNAcentral. Lineage: Eukaryota; Metazoa; Chordata; Lepidosauria; Squamata; Sphaerodactylidae.